GGGGGUAUAGCUCAGUGGUAGAGUGCAUACUUAGCAUGCACAAGGUCCUGGGUUCAAUUCCAAGUUCCUCCA
This 72-nucleotide transfer RNA is filed under the name Camelus ferus (Wild Bactrian camel). It matches the Rfam family "tRNA". Rfam says of the family: Transfer RNA (tRNA) molecules are approximately 80 nucleotides in length. Their secondary structure includes four short double-helical elements and three loops (D, anti-codon, and T loops). Further hydrogen bonds mediate the characteristic L-shaped molecular structure. tRNAs have two regions of fundamental functional importance: the anti-codon, which is responsible for specific mRNA codon recognition, and the 3' end, to which the tRNAs corresponding amino acid is attached (by aminoacyl-tRNA synthetases). tRNAs cope with the degeneracy of the genetic code in two manners: having more than one tRNA (with a specific anti-codon) for a particular amino acid; and 'wobble' base-pairing, i.e. permitting non-standard base-pairing at the 3rd anti-codon position. Lineage: Eukaryota; Metazoa; Chordata; Mammalia; Artiodactyla; Camelidae. The record is from Rfam by way of RNAcentral.